Molecule: non-coding RNA, 23 nt
Filed under: Arabidopsis thaliana (thale cress)
Lineage: Eukaryota; Viridiplantae; Streptophyta; Magnoliopsida; Brassicales; Brassicaceae
Source: RNAcentral
CUCCGACAAACCUCUUCUUCGCC